Molecule: long non-coding RNA, 1053 nt
Organism: Topomyia yanbarensis
Lineage: Eukaryota; Metazoa; Arthropoda; Insecta; Diptera; Culicidae
Exons: 3
Source: RefSeq, a predicted model, not a curated record
AGGGAGUAGGUUACCAUGCCAUUUCUUGCGCCAUUCUGUUAGUGAAAAAAAUGGAAUAACAUCUUGGAAACGAGUGCGGAGUAAAUUAUUAGUCUAUUUCCAACCCACAAAUGAAAAUUAUUCUGACGAGAAACAUUCGUGAACCCUGUGAUUACUCCUUACCACUUAAGUGGGUUGCUCCCGGACUAUCAAAAAGGACAGCUUUAGUUUGUGGUAAAUUUAGUCCGAUGGGGGGUCAUUAUGCAUUGAUGGGACCACCAAAACAGCAUUUGUUUCCGCGGGACGCAUCUUUAGUCUUCGUGGGAAUUUAGCAGGUACACCCAAUAAUAUCCGUGGUGACACUGCCAAGGUAAUGGAGACUAGACGAGUCUGAAAAUCAACGCUUUCUUGACCAUCCAAAUGGAUUUGCCAAUCGCUUUGGAGGAACAGUCUGAUGAAACGAUAGUAUUUGUGAGCAUUCAGGACUUUACAAAGAAGUGCGUCGUUCGAUCCUUAAGCAUACCAAAGAAUGUUAAUUUGAUGGCAUGCAUACCAUUCGGACAACGCUUACAUUGACGAUAACAAAAGUGUUGCUGUCGAAUGUUCCAUGAAGUAAAUUCCUUAGUUUUCUGGGAAGGUGUCAUCAUGCUGUUACUCGUUCGAUCAAUUCUAGUUCUUAUGUACUGGGAAAACCAAUUGAACAUACCGUUGUACAACGUGCUAUCAGUAUUAAGAGCCGAUUUCUUCACCUUCGCCCAACUUUUAAACCAGGUUCACCAGUACGUUUAGACCUGGCUUAAGCGCUAAGCGAGGGUGAAGAAAUCGGCCCUAAGUGACUCUGCUUCGCAAUGUUCAGAGGAAUGCUGCUGACUCGAAGCGCACGACGGUUCAUCAUUCAGUGAACGCAAAGUGUGGAGUAUGGUGACGACCAGUGGCAGUAUCUUAAGAAGCCCAGCCGGAAUUCAGGCUGGCUCUAGUUAAACUCGGUUGUGUCACUGGAGCUGAAGUAUUUUCUCGGUAGAUUUACUGGGAUAGUGCAGGUGGCAUGUGAAAGGCAAUGAUGAAGGCAAAUGU